UACGGAGGGGGCGAGCGUUAUUCGGAAUUAUUGGGCGUAAAGGGCGCGUAGGCGGCCGGAUAAGUCAAAGGUGAAAUCCCUCGGCUCAACUGAGGAACUGCCUUUGAUACUGUUUGGCUCGAGUCCGGGAGGGGGUAGCGGAAUUCCCAGUGUAGCGGUGAAAUGCGUAGAUAUUGGGAGGAACACCAGUGGCGAAGGCGGCUACCUGGACCGGAACUGACGCUGAUGCGCGAAAGCGUGGGGAGCAAACAGG
This 253-nucleotide ribosomal RNA is filed under the name uncultured bacterium. Its description in RNAcentral is "partial 16S ribosomal RNA". It matches the Rfam family "Bacterial small subunit ribosomal RNA", at positions 524 to 776 of the family's 1533-position model. The record is from RNAcentral.